This 253-nucleotide ribosomal RNA is filed under the name uncultured bacterium. RNAcentral's name for it is "partial 16S ribosomal RNA". It matches the Rfam family "Bacterial small subunit ribosomal RNA", at positions 524 to 776 of the family's 1533-position model. The record is from RNAcentral.
UACGGAGGAUGCAAGCGUUAUCCGGAAUUAUUGGGCGUAAAGCGUCCGCAGGUGGCACUUCAAGUCUGCUGUCAAAGACCGGGGCUUAACCCUGGAGAGGCAGUGGAAACUGAAGCGCUAGAGUGUCGUAGGGGUAGAGGGAAUUCCUGGUGUAGCGGUGAAAUGCGUAGAGAUCAGGAAGAACAUCGGUGGCGAAAGCGCUCUACUGGACGACAACUGACACUCAGGGACGAAAGCUAGGGGAGCGAAUGGG